This 529-nucleotide long non-coding RNA is filed under the name Nicotiana benthamiana. RNAcentral describes it as "long non-coding RNA (NBEN_LNC027742)". Lineage: Eukaryota; Viridiplantae; Streptophyta; Magnoliopsida; Solanales; Solanaceae. The record is from RNAcentral.
AGAUGGAGUAGUUAAAUAGAAAUAUAUUCCUCGCCCUAGAAAUAGCCCGCUCUAAAAAGAAGUAGUCCGUUGCCCAGGGAGGGGUUCAUUUGGUAGAUUAGUCCUAUGGAUGGGUCGCCAUGUGGUCUCCUUUUGGGAUUGCUCGGUUAUCAGUCGAGGAGACUGUCCCUUUCUUAAGUUUUUAUGCGCUUUUCGGUUUACAUAAGUAUUCACUUUCGGGAGAAGUUGGCAAGUAAUGGUAAAGUCCAUCACGUACUUCACCUACCCCAAUCAGCUUCAUCGGCGAACCUUUCUCUUCUAAGUUUCCGAUGUAGGGCGAUUAGUGCUUCCUCCUUCUCACUCUCCAACCAUUUUCUGGCUGCGGACGAGGUAUACCUUCUUUGAUUCGUUUUACACCGGCCAACGAAUUAAAAGCACUUUGACCCUAGCCUAAUAAAUCAGCUUAGGCCAGACGCGCUCCAGCUCACUCGACCUUAGGGGGCUCUCUUAACUAUAAGACAUUUAGUUUCCCUUUAGAGUAGUCCCCGGG